RNAcentral lists this ribosomal RNA (646 nucleotides) under uncultured bacterium. RNAcentral's name for it is "bacterial SSU rRNA". It matches the Rfam family "Bacterial small subunit ribosomal RNA", at positions 9 to 645 of the family's 1533-position model. The record is from RNAcentral.
GAGUUUGAUCCUGGCUCAGGACGAACGCUGGCGGCGUGCCUAACACAUGCAAGUCGAACGGAGAUACGCGCUGAAUGGAUGGAGCUUGCUUUUGAAAUUCUUGUGUAUCUUAGUGGCGGACGGGUGAGUAACGCGUGAGCAACCUGCCUUUCAGAGGGGGAUAACGUUUGGAAACGAACGCUAAUACCGCAUGAGACCACAGUACUGCAUAGUACAGUGGCCAAAGGAGCAAUCCGCUGAAAGAUGGGCUCGCGUCCGAUUAGAUAGUUGGCGGGGUAACGGCCCACCAAGUCGACGAUCGGUAGCCGGACUGAGAGGUUGAACGGCUACAUUGGGACUGAGACACGGCCCAGACUCCUACGGGAGGCAGCAGUGAGGGAUAUUGGUCAAUGGGGGAAACCCUGAACCAGCAACGCCGCGUGAGGGAAGACGGUUUUCGGAUUGUAAACCUCUGUCCUCUGUGAAGAUAAUGACGGUAGCAGAGGAGGAAGCUCCGGCUAACUACGUGCAAGCAGCCGCGGUAAUACGUAGGGAGCGAGCGUUGUCCGGAUUUACUGGGUGUAAAGGGUGCGUAGGCGGCCCUGCAAGUCAGAAGUGAAAUCCAUGGGCUUAACCCGUGAACUGCUUUUGAAACUGCAGGACUUGA